Unclassified non-coding RNA from Vombatus ursinus (common wombat), 301 nucleotides. It matches the Rfam family "Metazoan signal recognition particle RNA". Rfam says of the family: The signal recognition particle (SRP) is a universally conserved ribonucleoprotein. NCBI's taxonomy places the organism in Eukaryota, Metazoa, Chordata, Mammalia, Diprotodontia, Vombatidae. The record is from Ensembl.
GCUAGGUGUGGUAUCUGAUGCAUGUGAUCUCUGCUCCUGGAGAAGCUGAGACUUGUGGAUCACUUGAGCUCUGGAGUUCUGAGCUGUAUUGGGCUGAGCUGAUUGGGUACCAAUACUAAAUCUGGCACCAAUGUGAUAAGCUUAGAGAACAGAGGGACCACCAGGUUGCUUAAGGAGGGGCAAAGAGGCCCAGGUUGGAAACAAAGUAGCUCAAAACUUCCACACUCAUCAGCAAUGGGAUUGGGCCUAUGAGUAGCUACUAUACUUUCAUUCUGGGUGAGAUAGGGAGACCAGAUCUCAA